GUGGGGAAUAUUCCGCAAUGGACGAAAGUCUGACGGAGCAACGCCGCGUGAGUGAUGAAGGUUUUCGGACUGUAAAGCUCUGUUGUUCAGGACGAAAGUGCCUGUUGCGAACAGUUACAGGUAUUGACGGUACUGAACGAGGAAGCCACGGCUAACUACGUGCCAGCAGCCGCGGUAAUACGUAGGUGGCAAGCGUUGUCCGGAAUUAUUGGGCGUAAAGAGCAUGUAGGCGGGAAUCUAAGUCUGUUGUGAAAAUGCGGGGCUCAACCCCGUAUGGCGAUGGAAACUGGAUUUCUUGAGUGCAGGAGAGGAAAGGGGAAUUCCCAGUGUAGCGGUGAAAUGCGUAGAUAUUGGGAGGAACACCAGUGGCGAAGGCGCCUUUCUGGACUGUGUCUGACGCUGAGAUGCGAAAGCCAGGGUAGCGAACGGGAUUAGAUACCCCUGUAGUCC
Molecule: ribosomal RNA, 450 nt
Filed under: uncultured bacterium
Lineage: Bacteria
Description: partial 16S ribosomal RNA
Rfam family: Bacterial small subunit ribosomal RNA
Source: RNAcentral